Molecule: long non-coding RNA, 1999 nt
Organism: Acinonyx jubatus (cheetah)
Lineage: Eukaryota; Metazoa; Chordata; Mammalia; Carnivora; Felidae
Exons: 3
Source: RefSeq, a predicted model, not a curated record
CUGAGAAUCCAUCCACGGGGCAGGAAAGGGGUGUCAGAACAGAGAGGGAUGUCAGCGUGCAGAGGACAGGGUGGUCUCCUGCUGCGUCCCGGGUGCCCUGCUCUCCGGUGCCCGGCUCUGUGUUCUCCCGCCACCAGGCACUCAUCUAAGCCCCUGACAAAUCUUUGUGCGUCCAAUGCUCUUACAGCCCAUUGAGGUAUGUAUCGUAUUUCCACUUGACCGAGAAGGAAAUCCAGACCGGGAAAGGUUGAGUAAGGCACCCAAGAACACACGUCCAUUAUGAAGCAGUGCGACUAUUUGAACCCAAAAGUUCUGGCUCCAGGACCACCCCUGGUAACCAUUGGGCUACGCUGCCUCCUUCACCAAGUGGAGCAAAUGCAACCAAAAUCACAAAAAAGGCCCUCUGUGUUUAAUACCUCACUAAUUUUAUCAUCAUCACCACCGCCAGCAUCAAUUCUAAAUCCCCACCAAACCUGUCCUGUACACCAACACGCUUUGCACCAUUUGUAUCACAGAAAUGACGACUUUUCCAAAUAAUAGUGCCGAGAAUAGCAGUUACCAUUUAUUGAGUGCCUAAUACGGACUGUACUAAACCGUCUCCUAAUCCCAUUUAAUCCUCUCAGCAAACCUGUGAGAGUUACUUCUUUCACAGAUAAGACAGCUGCAGUUAGGAGAGAGUAAAUUAUCCGUGGCUCGCAAGGAAAAGAUUUGUGUCCACAUCUUUCAGACGCGGUGCCUGGCCCUUGCCGUUGGGAGCAUCAGGCCUCCCCGAAAGGCUUCCGUCUCGAGUACAGAGUCGGGCUGAUGGACUUAGCCUGGGCAAGAGGAAAUUCCCCCAGGGCACCAUGGCAAUUGGUGACACUCUCUUGCUGCCCAACCUUUUCCCUCAAUAUUUCCAUUUACUGGGGGAUAAUGCUUCUGGAUUGUAAUUUAUAGCACAAAUAUCCUCUUCCUUGCUCCCUGCAAAUUUGAUUUAAGGAGGGCACCCACCUUACUAAUAUUUGGAUAGUGUGAAGGCGGUCUGCAAAUUUGGAAAACGAUAUAGCCAUUACCAGGCAGCCAGCGUGCCCCUCCCGAUGCAUUGUGGGUCAGCGAGAGCACGGUGUUUUGUAACCAUGGAAACAAACUGAGUUUGAGAAGCCUGAGCAUCCAGUUUACCCUUCAAAGAUGAAGGACACCCCACUGGUGGAUCCCCAGGGAAGAGUCUGCUGUCCUCAGCACCUGCCCCUUUGCGGUCUCCCUACCAUUGGAAAAGACGUCCCCUAACCUGGGCAUCUCAAGCCAGCCGCCACAUCGUCAAAACGGUAUCACAAGAAAUGGGAAACAGCCAGCCGGAACGUCUGUCUCCAAAUCAGAGGAACCACCGACUUGGCUCCAUACUAAAUCCCCGAACCGGGAGCAUCCGCGAGCAUCCAUCAGAGUUUCAGGAGUGGGAAGCACAACUACAAUAAAAGAAGAAAACACGAGGGGCUCUGGAUGGCUUUUGGAUGCACCACGGGCCAGGCUAUAGUCCCCAGUUACUCAAGCCUGGACAGGUGCUCCUGGGGAGAGGCCCCAAGGAGGUGAAGGUAGCCCCUGCUGGCUGGGGUGAGGACAGUUAUCUUCAAUGACGCGGGUGAGCCUGAGGAAGGCGGAGGAGAGAGGAAAUUCUGCCCGGGCCUUGGAGCCUUGUCCUUCGGUGACAGACGCUGUACUUACUGUUCUUUGGGGACAGAUGGGUACCUGAUUCCUUCAAUGGGUAAUAUUCCAGUGUGUGAAUAUACCACAUUUUAGUCAUGUAGUCUACAGGCGGUGGACAUUUGGGCGCUUCCGACUGGGGCUGCCGUGAAGAAGACCACCAGCCUUUGCCUGGACGUGCGUGCAGUUCCCCCAGGCAUUUAUCUAGGAGCCGGAUGGAGUGUUUGACUUCUUGAGUUUCCUUAAGGGAAGGAACUGCGUCUCUUCCUUCGGUAUUCCCAGCACCUGGAAAAGCCCCACGUAAAAUAAACAUGGUAUUGAA